This 536-nucleotide ribosomal RNA is filed under the name uncultured bacterium. Its description in RNAcentral is "bacterial SSU rRNA". It matches the Rfam family "Bacterial small subunit ribosomal RNA", at positions 336 to 863 of the family's 1533-position model. The record is from RNAcentral.
CUCCUACGGGAGGCAGCAGUGGGGAAUAUUGGACAAUGGGCGCAAGCCUGAUCCAGCCAUGCCGCGUGAGUGAAGAAGGCCUUCGGGUUGUAAAGCUCUUUUGUCCGGAAAGAAAAGCAUUCGGUUAAUAACCGGGUGUCAUGACGGUACCGGAAGAAUAAGCACCGGCUAACUUCGUGCCAGCAGCCGCGGUAAUACGAAGGGUGCAAGCGUUACUCGGAAUUACUGGGCGUAAAGCGUGCGUAGGUGGUUCGUUAAGUCUGAUGUGAAAGCCCUGGGCUCAACCUGGGAAUGGCAUUGGAUACUGGCGGACUGGAGUGCGGUAGAGGAUGGCGGAAUUCCCGGUGUAGCAGUGAAAUGCGUAGAGAUCGGGAGGAACAUCCGUGGCGAAGGCGGCCAUCUGGACCAGCACUGACACUGAGGCACGAAAGCGUGGGGAGCAAACAGGAUUAGAUACCCUGGUAGUCCACGCCCUAAACGAUGCGAACUGGAUGUUGGGAGCAACUAGGCUCUCAGUAUCGAAGCUAACGCGUUAA